GAGGAAACAAAUUCCAUCUUCAACACAGCACUUGCAGAGGUAGAAUUAACUCAGAAAGAGGCUGGACAACUUGGCCUGGAACCCACUGUGGGAAACUUUGGUAACUAUCAGCUGUGGUUUGCUUUUCUGCACCACUGACUCAGCAACCCUGCAGUUGGGCACUGGGAGAGUCAGGCUUGUAAAACCGGUAAGACCAAGAGCAGCUAGGCAGGUCAAGGGUCA
This 222-nucleotide long non-coding RNA is filed under the name Homo sapiens (human). Its description in RNAcentral is "HSALNT0196440". Lineage: Eukaryota; Metazoa; Chordata; Mammalia; Primates; Hominidae. The record is from RNAcentral.